UAUUGCGGUCAAACCGGAGGGGCAGCCCUUGGGGAAGAGGGAGACGUCCAAUCGGAUAUUGGGUGGAGGACUGCGGAGCACUAGUAGUCUGGGUAACUGUGGCGAAAAGAAAAUCGGGGGCAGUUUGGCACUCUCGGUGAUUGAACAGAGAAACUGAAGAUUCCGAGUGCUGAUACUGCUACUGGCAGGAACACCUUACUGAAGGUUGAGGUGCAGUGUGAGGUAAAGAAAAUAGUAAUUGAUUCCAGCACAUACUAUUGAAGAAAAGCUGAAUAACUUUUGUGCCAAGUGGCCACAGUUAAAAUGGAUACAAGUAUGCUUUAUACUAUAUGUUAAUUGCUGUUACUUUGUUGCAAUUUUGUCAAUAGAUGGCGCUGUUUUUACUUGUUUAAAAGGAAAUCUUUGUGACCAGGUGUGUUAGCUUGAUAAAGAGCCAGAGAUGGCUUGAAACGUUGCUAUUGUUGGUCUGUGCCAUGAUUAAAUAAAGGCCUUUUAUCUUAUCAA
Molecule: long non-coding RNA, 504 nt
Organism: Xenopus laevis (African clawed frog)
Lineage: Eukaryota; Metazoa; Chordata; Amphibia; Anura; Pipidae
Exons: 3
Source: RefSeq, a predicted model, not a curated record